Molecule: ribosomal RNA, 2930 nt
Filed under: Escherichia coli
Lineage: Bacteria; Pseudomonadati; Pseudomonadota; Gammaproteobacteria; Enterobacterales; Enterobacteriaceae
Also listed under: 1 other name
Description: 23S ribosomal RNA
Rfam family: Bacterial large subunit ribosomal RNA
Source: RNAcentral
GGGUUGUGAGGUUAAGCGACUAAGCGUACACGGUGGAUGCCCUGGCAGUCAGAGGCGAUGAAGGACGUGCUAAUCUGCGAUAAGCGUCGGUAAGGUGAUAUGAACCGUUAUAACCGGCGAUUUCCGAAUGGGGAAACCCAGUGUGUUUCGACACACUAUCAUUAACUGAAUCCAUAGGUUAAUGAGGCGAACCGGGGGAACUGAAACAUCUAAGUACCCCGAGGAAAAGAAAUCAACCGAGAUUCCCCCAGUAGCGGCGAGCGAACGGGGAGCAGCCCAGAGCCUGAAUCAGUGUGUGUGUUAGUGGAAGCGUCUGGAAAGGCGCGCGAUACAGGGUGACAGCCCCGUACACAAAAAUGCACAUGCUGUGAGCUCGAUGAGUAGGGCGGGACACGUGGUAUCCUGUCUGAAUAUGGGGGGACCAUCCUCCAAGGCUAAAUACUCCUGACUGACCGAUAGUGAACCAGUACCGUGAGGGAAAGGCGAAAAGAACCCCGGCGAGGGGAGUGAAAAAGAACCUGAAACCGUGUACGUACAAGCAGUGGGAGCCUCUUUAUGGGGUGACUGCGUACCUUUUGUAUAAUGGGUCAGCGACUUAUAUUCUGUAGCAAGGUUAACCGAAUAGGGGAGCCGAAGGGAAACCGAGUCUUAACUGGGCGUUAAGUUGCAGGGUAUAGACCCGAAACCCGGUGAUCUAGCCAUGGGCAGGUUGAAGGUUGGGUAACACUAACUGGAGGACCGAACCGACUAAUGUUGAAAAAUUAGCGGAUGACUUGUGGCUGGGGGUGAAAGGCCAAUCAAACCGGGAGAUAGCUGGUUCUCCCCGAAAGCUAUUUAGGUAGCGCCUCGUGAAUUCAUCUCCGGGGGUAGAGCACUGUUUCGGCAAGGGGGUCAUCCCGACUUACCAACCCGAUGCAAACUGCGAAUACCGGAGAAUGUUAUCACGGGAGACACACGGCGGGUGCUAACGUCCGUCGUGAAGAGGGAAACAACCCAGACCGCCAGCUAAGGUCCCAAAGUCAUGGUUAAGUGGGAAACGAUGUGGGAAGGCCCAGACAGCCAGGAUGUUGGCUUAGAAGCAGCCAUCAUUUAAAGAAAGCGUAAUAGCUCACUGGUCGAGUCGGCCUGCGCGGAAGAUGUAACGGGGCUAAACCAUGCACCGAAGCUGCGGCAGCGACGCUUAUGCGUUGUUGGGUAGGGGAGCGUUCUGUAAGCCUGUGAAGGUGUGCUGUGAGGCAUGCUGGAGGUAUCAGAAGUGCGAAUGCUGACAUAAGUAACGAUAAAGCGGGUGAAAAGCCCGCUCGCCGGAAGACCAAGGGUUCCUGUCCAACGUUAAUCGGGGCAGGGUGAGUCGACCCCUAAGGCGAGGCCGAAAGGCGUAGUCGAUGGGAAACAGGUUAAUAUUCCUGUACUUGGUGUUACUGCGAAGGGGGGACGGAGAAGGCUAUGUUGGCCGGGCGACGGUUGUCCCGGUUUAAGCGUGUAGGCUGGUUUUCCAGGCAAAUCCGGAAAAUCAAGGCUGAGGCGUGAUGACGAGGCACUACGGUGCUGAAGCAACAAAUGCCCUGCUUCCAGGAAAAGCCUCUAAGCAUCAGGUAACAUCAAAUCGUACCCCAAACCGACACAGGUGGUCAGGUAGAGAAUACCAAGGCGCUUGAGAGAACUCGGGUGAAGGAACUAGGCAAAAUGGUGCCGUAACUUCGGGAGAAGGCACGCUGAUAUGUAGGUGAAGUCCCUCGCGGAUGGAGCUGAAAUCAGUCGAAGAUACCAGCUGGCUGCAACUGUUUAUUAAAAACACAGCACUGUGCAAACACGAAAGUGGACGUAUACGGUGUGACGCCUGCCCGGUGCCGGAAGGUUAAUUGAUGGGGUCAGCGCAAGCGAAGCUCUUGAUCGAAGCCCCGGUAAACGGCGGCCGUAACUAUAACGGUCCUAAGGUAGCGAAAUUCCUUGUCGGGUAAGUUCCGACCUGCACGAAUGGCGUAAUGAUGGCCAGGCUGUCUCCACCCGAGACUCAGUGAAAUUGAACUCGCUGUGAAGAUGCAGUGUACCCGCGGCAAGACGGAAAGACCCCGUGAACCUUUACUAUAGCUUGACACUGAACAUUGAGCCUUGAUGUGUAGGAUAGGUGGGAGGCUUUGAAGUGUGGACGCCAGUCUGCAUGGAGCCGACCUUGAAAUACCACCCUUUAAUGUUUGAUGUUCUAACGUUGACCCGUAAUCCGGGUUGCGGACAGUGUCUGGUGGGUAGUUUGACUGGGGCGGUCUCCUCCUAAAGAGUAACGGAGGAGCACGAAGGUUGGCUAAUCCUGGUCGGACAUCAGGAGGUUAGUGCAAUGGCAUAAGCCAGCUUGACUGCGAGCGUGACGGCGCGAGCAGGUGCGAAAGCAGGUCAUAGUGAUCCGGUGGUUCUGAAUGGAAGGGCCAUCGCUCAACGGAUAAAAGGUACUCCGGGGAUAACAGGCUGAUACCGCCCAAGAGUUCAUAUCGACGGCGGUGUUUGGCACCUCGAUGUCGGCUCAUCACAUCCUGGGGCUGAAGUAGGUCCCAAGGGUAUGGCUGUUCGCCAUUUAAAGUGGUACGCGAGCUGGGUUUAGAACGUCGUGAGACAGUUCGGUCCCUAUCUGCCGUGGGCGCUGGAGAACUGAGGGGGGCUGCUCCUAGUACGAGAGGACCGGAGUGGACGCAUCACUGGUGUUCGGGUUGUCAUGCCAAUGGCACUGCCCGGUAGCUAAAUGCGGAAGAGAUAAGUGCUGAAAGCAUCUAAGCACGAAACUUGCCCCGAGAUGAGUUCUCCCUGACUCCUUGAGAGUCCUGAAGGAACGUUGAAGACGACGACGUUGAUAGGCCGGGUGUGUAAGCGCAGCGAUGCGUUGAGCUAACCGGUACUAAUGAACCGUGAGGCUUAACCUUACAACGCCGAAGGUGUUU